This 473-nucleotide ribosomal RNA is filed under the name uncultured bacterium. Its description in RNAcentral is "SSU rRNA". It matches the Rfam family "Bacterial small subunit ribosomal RNA", at positions 26 to 518 of the family's 1533-position model. The record is from RNAcentral.
AGGACGAACGCUGGCGGCGUGCUUAACACAUGCAAGUCGAGCGGAAAGGCCCUUCGGGGUACUCGAGCGGCGAACGGGUGAGUAACACGUGAGUAAUCUGCCCCUAGCUCUGGGAUAGCUCCGGGAAACCGGGAUUAAUACCAGAUACGACCACUUUAGACAUCUUCUGUGGUGGAAAGAACUUCGGCUAGGGAUGAACUCGCGGCCUAUCAGCUUGUUGGUGAGGUAACGGCUCACCAAGGCGACGACGGGUAGCCGGCCUGAGAGGGCGACCGGCCACACUGGGACUGAGACACGGCCCAGGCUCCUACGGGAGGCAGCAGUGGGGAAUAUUGCGCAAUGGGCGAAAGCCUGACGCAGCGACGCCGCGUGGGGGAUGAAGGCCUUCGGGUUGUAAACCCUUUCAGCAGGGACGAAGCGAAAGUGACGGUACCUGCAGAAGAAGCGCCGGCUAACUACGUGCCAGCAGCCGC